AUAAUACUCCCUCCGUCCCGAAAUAAGUGACUUAAAAAUGACUUAAGUUUGUACUAACUUUAGUAUAAACUUGAAUCGUUUUUGAGUCACUUAUUUUGGGACGAAGGGAGUACAAU
RNAcentral lists this microRNA precursor (116 nucleotides) under Hordeum vulgare. RNAcentral describes it as "microRNA MIR1122". It matches the Rfam family "MIR1120/MIR1122 microRNA precursor family". The record is from RNAcentral. Lineage: Eukaryota; Viridiplantae; Streptophyta; Magnoliopsida; Poales; Poaceae.